Arvicola amphibius (Eurasian water vole) is the source of this 448-nucleotide long non-coding RNA. RefSeq lists it as uncharacterized. The transcript is spliced from 3 exons. NCBI's taxonomy places the organism in Eukaryota, Metazoa, Chordata, Mammalia, Rodentia, Cricetidae. The record is from RefSeq and is a predicted model, not a curated record.
GUUUACGAACGGGCUGUCGUAUUUCCUGUCGGUUAUCUACUUAAGUGAGAGUUCUUGGUAGAGUGGAAAGGAUUUCUCUCAACAGGAAGUUCACAGGGCUUCUUAACCUAAUGUUCUCACCGCCUUACCAAGCGUGAAAUCCUCAGGUCAGCCAGACACUUCUACAGGACCGCACAGGAGACCAUGACGUUGAACACUCCCUGCAUCCCGGUUCCAACGCGAGGUAUUUUGUCGGCUUCUAUGUGUGUACCUGGUGCCUACAAAGGCCAGAAAAGAGCAUUGGAUCCCCUGGGACUGCAGGUACAGACGAUCGUGAGCCAGCAGGACUACAUGCAGCCUGGAGAAAUCCACAAUAAGAGCACACAAAGGUCCCUUUCUGGAUGACCAAAAGAGAUUUGAGCAGAGCAAAAUGUGGAAGCUACAGCGAGUUCUAGGCCAGUUCACUUGC